AACUGAUACUACCUGCGGGAACCUGCGGAGGGAUCAUUAAAAAGUUUUGCCCUUCGGGGUGAUGCGGCACGACGCCGGCGCGGUUGCCCUCACGGGCUGCCGCGGCGGUUGAAGGCUCGAAACCCAAUGUGAAAACCCCCAAGUUGCCUCGGCAGCGCGCCCCUCCGGGAUUAAUUUUCCGGCGGGGCGGUCAGCCUGCCGACGGCACCCAGGAAACUCCUUUUGUAUCUUGGUAUCAAA
Molecule: unclassified non-coding RNA, 240 nt
Filed under: soil metagenome
Description: partial contains 5.8S ribosomal RNA, internal transcribed spacer 2, and large subunit ribosomal RNA
Source: RNAcentral